UAAGGAAUAUUGGUCAAUGGACGCAAGUCUGAACCAGCCAUGCCGCGUGGAGGAUGAAGGCCCUCUGGGUUGUAAACUUCUUUUAUGGGGGACGAAACCCCGGAUUUUUAUCCGGCCUGACGGUACCCCAGGAAUAAGCACCGGCUAACUCCGUGCCAGCAGCCGCGGUAAUACGGAGGGUGCAAGCGUUAUCCGGAUUCACUGGGUUUAAAGGGUGCGUAGGCGGGUUUGUAAGUCAGUGGUGAAAUCCCGAAGCUUAACUUCGGAACUGCCGUUGAUACUACAGGUCUUGAAUACUCGGGAGGUGAGCGGAAUAUGUCAUGUAGCGGUGAAAUGCUUAGAUAUGACAUAGAACACCGAUUGCGAAGGCAGCUCACUACAGAGUCAUUGACGCUGAGGC
This 400-nucleotide ribosomal RNA is filed under the name uncultured bacterium. RNAcentral describes it as "bacterial SSU rRNA". It matches the Rfam family "Bacterial small subunit ribosomal RNA", at positions 355 to 752 of the family's 1533-position model. The record is from RNAcentral.